Molecule: ribosomal RNA, 487 nt
Filed under: uncultured bacterium
Lineage: Bacteria
Description: bacterial SSU rRNA
Rfam family: Bacterial small subunit ribosomal RNA
Source: RNAcentral
GACGAACGCUGGCGGCGCGCUUAACACAUGCAAGUCGAGCGAGAACCAGUCCUUCGGGACUGGGGAAAGCGGCGAACGGGUGAGUAACACGUGGGUAAUCUGCCCUCGGCACCGGAAUAGCCCGGGGAAACCCGGAUUAAUGCCGGAUGGCCUCUCUGCCCCUCGGGGCGGCGAGAAAAGGUAGCUUCGGCCUCCGGCCGAGGAUGAGCCCGCGGCCGAUUAGCUUGUUGGUGGGGUAACGGCUCACCAAGGCGACGAUCGGUAGCUGGUCUGAGAGGACGAUCAGCCACACUGGGACUGAGACACGGCCCAGACUCCUACGGGAGGCAGCAGUGGGGAAUCUUAGACAAUGGGGGCAACCCUGAUCUAGCCAUGCCGCGUGAGUGAUGAAGGCCUUAGGGUUGUAAAGCUCUUUCAGCUGGGAAGAUAAUGACGGUACCAGCAGAAGAAGCCCCGGCUAACUCCGUGCCAGCCGCCGCCGUAAAAC